AUUGAACGCUGGCGGCAGGCUUAACACAUGCAAGUCGAGCGGAGCGAGGGUGCUUGCACCUUAGCUUAGCGGCGGACGGGUGAGUAAUGCUUAGGAAUCUGCCUAUUAGUGGGGGACAACAUUCCGAAAGGAAUGCUAAUACCGCAUACGUCCUACGGGGGAAAGCAGGGGAUCUUCGGACCUUGCGCUAAUAGAUGAGCCUAAGUCGGAUUAGCUAGUUGGUGGGAUAAAGGCCUACCAAGGCGACGAUCUGUAGCGGGUCUGAGAGGAUGAUCCGCCACACUGGGACUGAGACACGGCCCAGACUCCUACGGGAGGCAGCAGUGGGGAAUAUUGGACAAUGGGCGGAAGCCUGAUCCAGCCAUGCCGCGUGUGUGAAGAAGGCCUUUUGGUUGUAAAGCACUUUAAGCGAGGAGGAGGCUACUUAGAUUAAUACUCUGGGAUAGUGGACGUUACUCGCAGAAUAAGCACCGGCUAACUCUGUGCCAGCAGCCGCGGUAA
Molecule: ribosomal RNA, 501 nt
Filed under: uncultured bacterium
Lineage: Bacteria
Description: partial 16S ribosomal RNA
Rfam family: Bacterial small subunit ribosomal RNA
Source: RNAcentral